GCUACGUUGGUUGUCCUUACCCUUGAGACAUGCUCAAUUUGUUAAAUACUAAUUACACUACUUCAUCUCCACUUAAGUAGAUCUCUAUAAAUGCUCUCAUGCUACCUUUAUUUGCUUUAGUAUAUGUCUAGGUUUGGAAUAGUUUCAUUUAUCUCUUAAUUAAGCAUGGUGCUUAGUUUAGGAAUGAUGAUCUUACUUCCAAGGGAUUUUAAAUUAAGCAUGGUGCUUAGGUUAAAAUGCCCUUCUAAAUCAAAUUAGACGUGGUGUCUAGGUUGAUUUUUAAGCCGAUAGUAUGCUAUAGUAGAUAUGGGAUAUUUUGUUGGACUAACCCCUGUAGGAAAACUUUCAAUAUCAACCUGGGAUGUCCCGAGAUAAACUCGCAUUGGAGAUGAAGAAAGCGACACAUAAAGUUUAACAAUUUGCACAAGAAAGACGUGGCUCAUAAGAGAUGAUUCAUGGAGGGUGCCACAAACACGAUGCACAACCGCUAAGAAAGGAAAGCUUCCACAAGGUGAUACUGUACCGUCACUCUUCAAGUAAGGUAACACCUUAAGGUACUUGACAAUCUCUUUUAUAAGCUUCUCCUUGGUUUUAGCAUUCACAUAAAUAAAGAUACAAACACGUAUGAUUUAUAACUCCAGAUUAACCAACUCAAUUAAUUCAACAUGUUUAGUCCUUUAAUCUUUGUUCUUAGUACUACCUUCGUGAUCCCACGCUCCUAAACAUAUAAGUUAAUAUGUUGCACAUUCAAUAUUUGGAAGAUAUAAACAAAACAUAAAUAUAGAUAAAUUAUCUUUCCAUUAGGUUGAGCCAUCUGAUCUGACAAAUGUUUCAAAUACUACACUCAUGAUCUUAUUAUCCAUCAACUUUGUCUUGCUCACUAUGCUUAAGGUUAGAGAAGAACAAAUACACUUUUGGUUCUGUUGGUGUUUUCCACCAACAGAGCCCAUGCACUUGAUCUCUGCCUUGUCUCUAUGAACAGGUACACUUCAAGCAAAACAUGAAGGAGUUUUACAACUCCCAGACUCCACCAAGUGAAGGACCUGGAUCUAUGAGCACAAACACACGGAGCAGGAUAUUGCCAACACCAUACUUCGAACUGCUGGGCAAAGAAGAACAUAGGUGACACCGUAUCAAGAGGUGCAGACGUCAAGGUCCACACCUAAUCAAAUGAUGCACCUAAAGGAUGAAGAUGGUGGAAAGUCUUCUCCAGAAGACUUAAAACAUUAGAUCCUUGUCGGAAGAGGUCAACAUCGUCGACUCAAGUCACCUUUCUUGAUCAAGAAGGACGACCCUUGUGUUCCAAGCAUCGAGUGCGCAAUCAAUGGAUACUCUUUUCAGAAGACACUCUACGACACCGGAUCUGACGACAACAUAAUGGCCGCAGCCACUUAUCAGCUCCUGCAUGAAACCAUGCCCCUACAACCAAUAUAUUCAGCUCCAGAUGAUUUUCAGGUCAUUGACAUGGGAGAAGACGAAUAUGAUCCACCCACCAUCCUUGGAAGACCGUUCCUCAACACUAUCAAAGCAAUCAUCAACAUUGGAACCGGAGAAGUCCACAUGUACUUCCCCUCUGAGAAGGUACGCAACUAUUUUACUGACCAUAACUAUAUAGUUGAAGACUCUAAGCAGGUCAGGACAAGAAGACGACGCAACCGCAACCAAGAGGAGGCAAAUCAUCAAGAACGGAUGGGUAGACUACAAAGGAGAAGUGAUAAGGACUGAAGUCAUACAGCUUGAACAGAACUGUCCUGAGGAGACCGUAGCACCGAGUCAGGUGUGGAGGGAGAAGAUAGUUAUACAUGAAGAGAGGCGCCGCCGGAAUCACCGACUACGCCACCUAGCGAAUCCCAGGACGACUGAGAAAACAGAGAGUCCCGUUCGGAGGACAUAAAAAUACCGAACGCCUUGCCAAGAGGUAAACUUGGUAGUUACCCUUUCCUUUCAAUUAUUCAAUUAUAAUUUUCUUAGUUAAUCAGGUUCAUGCUAUCUUGAAAAGAAAAUAAAAAUGUUAAAAAAAAUAGUAAGCCCCAUGUGAGUAUGCUCAUGGCAUAAAACCCAUAAGUACAUUCACUAUGGUGGCAUAAAAAUAAAAUAAAUAAGUUUUCAUCUUACAAUAAAAAUAUAAAAAUAAUAAUAAUAAUAAUAAUAAUAAUAAUAAUAAUAAUAAUAAUAAGUGUAUGAUCCUGCUAAAUAAAUAACAUUUAUUAAGGAAGCUCAACAUGAUGAAAGCCAGAUAUUUAUGCUAACACUUAAUUAGUUCCACAAGCUUUGUUGUCUAUUUGAGCUCCACAGAACUUAAGAAUCAAGAAGACUAGCAGACGGAGGACAUUCUAAUCGCUGUCAGAAUGCUGCUGACUUUCAAAUACACCUCUGCCACCUGCUAGCUACAUCAAGAGAAAUUACGUCAAAAUUCAGCUUGGGGGAGAGCACCCCCAUUAUUCUCGCUAAGUAUUUCUACCUAUCUUUAUACUUAUAUUAUGUUAGAAUAUUAAAAUACAUAAACUAUGAAAAAACAAAAUAAAGAUUUUGUGCUUAUAUAUAUAUCUUUUGCUUAGUAUGUUUAAUAAAUAAAUAAAGUAGCUAUGCUAAUCUGAAUCUUAAUAAUAAAACUCUAGCACGGAUAUGAUGAAUAGUUGCUCUGCCUAAUUUGCAAUUUUCAAGUUCCCUCUCAAGUUUAGACAUAACUAUUAUAAUUUAAAGCUUGCUCUAGAUCUAAACUUGUGGGAUGAAAACUUGAUCUGAAAUCUAAGUUGUUAACGGAUAUGAUAUGGGAAGGUUGAGUUGUUGUUUAUCUGUUCCUAUUGAUGCUAGAAUUCUGGAGAAUUUUAUCUUUGAAAAAUCUUUAAAAUAUUGCAUGAUGAGUUCCUGUAUGAUGAGAGUUUAAAUUCCUACCACUGCCAUAUAUACAUGCUUGCUAGACUUUGAGCCACACAUUUACUAUUUACUGCUUAUGAGCAUUGAGUGUGGUCAAGCUGUGUAGACCCUUAGGAGCUUGUCAUGUGGUUAAAUCAAGAUUCACUUGCACGUUCACUCAUAUAUGCUACUUCUACUCUGGAAGUACCAUCCACAUAUAUCCAUCCAUUUCCAUCUCCAGAAUCACCCAAAAAUAUUCUACUCCUAAUCCGGGAGAGAAUAGUCAAAAACAUUUUCCUAUCCCUGUUAUUCCCUGUGAAAUAAAUGCUCCAAAUAUUUUGGUUACUACCACUUGCUAUAUUAUCUCAAGAGAUGAGUGCUCUGAAAAAAAAGAGAAAAAAAAUAUAUACGAGGAAAUAAAAAGGGGCAAGUGCCCGGAACCUCGAAGAAAAGAAAAAGUGAGACGAGAGGUAAAAAUGGACAAGUGUCCGACAGUAGAAUUAGGGAUACAAGAUACCCACCUGAGAGGAAAGAAAAAGAAAAUAUAGAGCAUCUCAUUCUCUCCAAAAAAGCUUCAAAGUGCAAGAAAGGUAUGUAUCCCCUCAAAAGAGCAAAAGUAGAAUUAGACUUUCACCACCAUUAUCACCAUCAUCACCAUACACCAUUCAUUCGCCACACAUGCACAUCUUGAUUUGACUUAUUGACUUGUUUCUCUGGAUCCAUUGUUUGACUAUGCAAUAAAUGUCUUGUAAGUAUGUAUUAGUUGUCUCCCACCUAUGAGCUCCAGAUAUCAAGCCUUAUUAGAGUAGGGUGAGAGAGAAGGCAAUGUCACUAUGCCUUAUACCACAAAUACCACAUAUCUUGAGAGAAGGCAUAUACCAUCAAUGCCUUGGUAAGGAUCUAGAAAUACCACAAAAGAGAGAUAUGAGAGAGUCAUACAAGGAAUCUCUGAGUUUUAUUUGAAAAUCUGCAAAAACCCCAGAGCUAUAGCUGAUCAAGAAUAAGAGACAUGACACUUGGCUAGACUGUUCUAUCUUUUAACCUCUCAAGAUAGAAGUGACGGUUACAAGUCCCAUGGUGAAGGUAAAGUAAGUUUUAAGUCUUGACAGUUUACUCUAACUCAGAGAUGAGAUCUUAUUUAAAAAGCAUGUGUACCGUCAAUUUUUAAAGAUAUUGUAACAAAUUCUAAUCCAUUGUUGAGUCUAUCCUUGCUCAGGGACGAGCAAGAGGUAAGCUUGGGGGAGCUUGUUGACGGUCCUUAAGUAUCAAAUUUAAUUAUCAAAUAAACAAAUAAAAGGAUCCAAAUGAAAUCAACAUCUAGACUUAGGGUUUUAUCUGACAGAAUUCCACGAGUUUUGGUGUUUGUCUACUUCUGCAGGGGGUUAUCAGGAAAUAAGAAAGAAAGGCCCACAUGUCAGGAUUACAUAGAGAUAUCAACGCACCGCGCAAUUUUCUACCAUCUAGAAGACUCCAGAAGCCACGAGACCGAAGCGGAGGCGAAACGGGGCCAGGACCUGGGCGCCCGCCCAGUUUCCUUGGGCGCCCGCACACCUGCCGAGCCCAAUCAGGACUCUUUCUCUCGGGAGAUCUCCACCGACCUAUUGGAUCCAGAAUAACGUAGUACCACAUCGCCUACCGACCCAAAAACGCAUAGAAGGGGAGGACUAUAUAAGGAGACCCCCCUGGCCCCUGGAGAAGACAUGAAGAAAUUAUCAUAGAGAUUGAGGGGUGCCCUCUAAUUAAUAUUUCUUUUUAGGCUUAGCAACCAAUGUAAGGUAGAAAUAUAUCUUCUAGUUUCUACUAGAUUGAGAGAGAUAGAGUGGAGGUGUAGAUUGGAGGAAGCCCGGCCUGUCGGUGUCUACUCCAAGCUUGUACCUACGGGAUCAAGUUCUCCUAACCCGAAGCUUGCUCCUAGGAUUCUUCAGUAUUUCGACUUCUAAAUUCUAGUAAGUUCUUGUUUUAUUGUUCUUAUGGUUUAUGAGUUUACUUUAAUCUCUUCGCGUAGAGUUUAGAGUAAUAAUUGCUGGCUUAAACGUGGUGUUUAGGCUGGGGUACUCAUAGAUAUUCCCUGACUAGCUGGACCGUGGUAGUAGUGAGGAACGUGACAAUUCCGAGUUACCUUUGCAGAUCACAUCUCGUUAGCAGGAAGGAUAGGGUUUAUAGUUGCGGGUUGAACAUCCUUUGUGGUGUCUAGAUUCCGUUAGCCUCCCCAUUAGAACAGUAGAUCAUCCUUACCAAGGUUAGAAGGAGACUACGGUUGCAGUCUUCUCUAUUUAUCACUCACAUUGAAAGACAUUCUUUGUGCCUAAAGGGAUAGUAGCAAUAGAUUUGGUUAGUCAGAUGCACCCUUUCUCCCAGUGGUAAAAAUAUAAAUACGAUAACUCUGGAUAACCUCCCGGGUGAAAUGCUCACCGAUAUCCAUGCGCUUGCGGUUCGUUUCCUUAUUGCGUUACCAAAUAUCAACAGUUGUCGCUCUGUGUUGGCCGG
This 5343-nucleotide long non-coding RNA is filed under the name Sorghum bicolor (sorghum). Its description in RNAcentral is "long non-coding RNA (SBIC_LNC014592)". The record is from RNAcentral. Lineage: Eukaryota; Viridiplantae; Streptophyta; Magnoliopsida; Poales; Poaceae.